UGGUUAAAGGAAGCAGGUCACCUGUGGGUGUUUCUUGUCCCUGGCUCCUUCCUUUCUCCUUCCGGCUCCUCUUCCCCUUUCCUAGCUGCCAUGAGGGGGAAGAGCUCUCCUCUGCCAUGCCCUUUCCACCAUCAUCUGCCAUGAUGCUUUCCACCUCACCACCAGCCUAAAACAAUGGAGCCAGUUCACCAUGGACUGACAUCUCUGACAUGUGAGCCAAAAUAAAUCUUUCCUCCUUGAAGUAGAUUUUCUCCAGUAGUUUGUCACAGUGGCAGAAAGCUGAUGAACAUACACCCUAGCCACCUUUUCUCACAGGCCGUGUCUCCUGCAUGGUUCUUGAGUACAUCAAAGCUGGGACUCAUCUCCCAGAUACUCACUUCUCUCUUAAAGUCCUCUGAGCUGCUGGUCCUGGAUGGGGACUCAAAGGUCAUCAGUGUGGUCUCUCUUCACUUCAUCUAUCCCUGAUUCCAGAUGCACUCUGCUCCUGACUUUCUGCACAGCCUGGGGUCUCCUGUUUUUGUCUUGCAUGGCCUUUUGUCUGUCCACUGCUAAAUGGUCUUCUGCGAUGGGGGAAUAAUCCGUGAUUUGCAGCUUUUGUUGAGUUCUCUGGUGUAAAUUCUCUCAUCGUGAUCAAUCUCAAAUACUAACAUGACUUCACUGAAGAUGGAGUUGGAAGAGAUGUAGAGUCAUCACCAUUGGAUAGUAUUUCUACCACAGAGAGACAACAGAACUAAAAAAUUAAUAAAUGAAACCUUCAAGGGCAGAAAUAUAGGUAGUGAUACAUUUUUAUUAUUUAUUACCUCCAUUUUUAAUAGAAUUCACUUAAUUAUAAACUUAUAGAAUUUAAUUUUUAAUAAGGACUGCAUUUAACAACCAACUGGCAAGAUUCCCAAACAUUUUAGCAAUUGGCCCUCCAGAGGCCAUUGAGGCAGCUCCCGUGGGCGGCUCGCCCCCUUCCCAGGGAUCCCUCCUCUCCACCAACAUCUUGUCAACACUUUCUCUUCCCUUAAAUCAGCUCUGCCUGCACGGGGAAGGUGCCCUCUUCCACUCCACCACAGCUCUCACCCACCACAAAGAUCUGUUGAUGCCCUAUCUUUCUCCUAUCCCACAAUUUCUUGAGGGCAGAGACCACAUCCCAUUUUUCUUUGUAAUCCCAGUAUAGUUCCUGGUACAUCUAGUGGACAGAGAACUAUUAAGGGACUGAGCUGCUGAGGUGGCACAUGGCUGAAAUCCCCACUGUUCAGGAGGCUGAGGGAGGAAGGUCACAACUUUAAGGCCACCCUGGGCCACUCAACAAGACCCUUGCUCAAAAUAAAAAGGGAUGGGGGUAUAGCUUAGUGAUAGCACAUGUGAGGCACUGGGCUCAAUCCCCAGUACUGCGAAAAAGAAAAAAGAAUUGAAGACUCCUUUCUGUUGGCACCGUUCUUUUCUCCUCUGUCUCCACUCCUGAUGGCUUUGGGAGAUUGGCUGCAUGAUGGAACAGGCUCAAUAAAAACAAAAUGCUUUUUGAUUGGACAAACUGACCAAGCAACUAGAGCAUUUGCAAGCAUGAAUAGUUUACUCGUGUUUAUUUGGGGUAGAAAAAAAUUGUGCCCUCU
This 1598-nucleotide long non-coding RNA is filed under the name Marmota monax (woodchuck). Lineage: Eukaryota; Metazoa; Chordata; Mammalia; Rodentia; Sciuridae. The record is from RNAcentral.